Molecule: ribosomal RNA, 253 nt
Filed under: uncultured bacterium
Lineage: Bacteria
Description: partial 16S ribosomal RNA
Rfam family: Bacterial small subunit ribosomal RNA
Source: RNAcentral
UACGAAGGGGGCGAGCGUUGUUCGGAAUUACUGGGCGUAAAGGGCGCGUAAGCGGCGACCCAAGUCAGAUAUGAAAGUCCUGGGCUUAACCUGGGGACUGCAUUUGAUACUGGGUUGCUUGAAUUCGGGAGAGGAUAGCGGAAUUCCCAGUGUAGAGGUGAAAUUCGUAGAUAUUGGGAAGAACACCGGUGGCGAAGGCGGCUAUCUGGACCGACAUUGACGCUGAGGCGCGAAAGCGUGGGGAGCAAACAGG